GACGAACGCUGGCGGCGUGCUUAACACAUGCAAGUCGAGCGGUAAGGCCCUUUCGGGGGUACACGAGCGGCGAACGGGUGAGUAACACGUGGGUGACCUGCCCUCAGCUCUGGGAUAAGCCUGGGAAACCGGGUCUAAUACCGGAUAUGACUCCAUGACGCAUGUUGUGGGGUGGAAAGCCUUGUGCGGCUGAGGAUGGGCCCGCGGCCUAUCAGCUUGUUGGUGGGGUGAGGCCUACCAAGGCGACGACGGGUAGCCGGCCUGAGAGGGCGACCGGCCACACUGGGACUGAGACACGGCCCAGACUCCUACGGGAGGCAGCAGUGGGGAAUCUUGCGCAAUGGGCGAAAGCCUGACGCAGCGACGCCGCGU
Molecule: ribosomal RNA, 372 nt
Filed under: uncultured bacterium
Lineage: Bacteria
Description: bacterial SSU rRNA
Rfam family: Bacterial small subunit ribosomal RNA
Source: RNAcentral